Molecule: ribosomal RNA, 234 nt
Filed under: Funneliformis mosseae
Lineage: Eukaryota; Fungi; Glomeromycota; Glomeromycetes; Glomerales; Glomeraceae
Description: partial small subunit ribosomal RNA
Rfam family: Eukaryotic small subunit ribosomal RNA
Source: RNAcentral
UUUGGAGGGCAAGUCUGGUGCCAGCAGCCGCGGUAAUUCCAGCUCCAAUAGCGUAUAUUAAAGUUGUUGCAGUUAAAAAGCUCGUAGUUGAAUUUCGGGAUCAAUAUUUCGGUCAUGCCGUUGGUAUGCACUGUUAUCAUUGAUUUCUCACCUUCUAAAGAACCGUAAUGCCAUUAAUUUGGUGUUACGGGGAAUUAGGACUGUUACCUUGAAAAAAUUAGAGUGUUUAAAGCA